GAUGAAGAACGUAGCGAAAUGCGAUAAGUAAUGUGAAUUGCAGAAUCCAGUGAAUCAUCGAAUCUUUGAACGCACAUUGCGCCCGCCAGUCUUCUGGCGGGCAUGCCUGUCCGAGCGUCAUUUCAACCAUCAAGCCCCAGGCUUGUGUUGGGGACCUGCGUCCGACGCAGGCCCUGAAAACCAGUGGCGGGCUCGCUGUCCACACCGAGCGUAGUAACUAACCUCGCUACGGGAGCGGCGCGGGCGCCUGCCGUAAAACCCCCAAUUUUCACAAGGUUGACCUCGGAUCAGGUAGGAAUACCCGCUGAACUUAAGCAUAUCAAUAAGCGGAGGA
This 334-nucleotide unclassified non-coding RNA is filed under the name soil metagenome. Its description in RNAcentral is "partial contains 5.8S ribosomal RNA, internal transcribed spacer 2, and large subunit ribosomal RNA". The stretch from base 1 to 120 matches the Rfam family "5.8S ribosomal RNA", at positions 35 to 154 of the family's 154-position model. The record is from RNAcentral.